This 365-nucleotide RNase P RNA is filed under the name Acidimicrobiaceae bacterium. RNAcentral's name for it is "RNase P RNA component class A". It matches the Rfam family "Bacterial RNase P class A". From Rfam's summary of the family: Ribonuclease P (RNase P) is a ubiquitous endoribonuclease, found in archaea, bacteria and eukarya as well as chloroplasts and mitochondria. Its best characterised activity is the generation of mature 5'-ends of tRNAs by cleaving the 5'-leader elements of precursor-tRNAs. Cellular RNase Ps are ribonucleoproteins. RNAcentral also lists the same sequence under 1 other name. Lineage: Bacteria; Bacillati; Actinomycetota; Acidimicrobiia; Acidimicrobiales; Acidimicrobiaceae. The record is from RNAcentral.
UGAGUACCUCGGGUAGCCGCAGCAACCUCGUUGAGGGCGUUGAGGAAGGUCGGGGCUCCGCAGGGCAGGAUGCUGACGAGAGUCAGGUGGGGGUGACCUCACAGUUAGUGCAACAGAGAACAAACCGCCGAUGGCCUGCUUGCAGGCACAGGCAAGGCUGAAACGGUGCGGUAAGAGCGCACCAGCGUAGUGGGUGACCAUUGCGGCUUGGCAGCCUCAUCCGGAGCAAGGCCAAGUAGUGAGUUGGGUUGCCCGCCCGAUGCCUCGGCAUCACUCACAGGUAGGCCGCAUAGAUGGAUGGUUACCGAACCGGAGCUCCGCAAGGAACCGGGGAACAGAACCCCGCCUAUAGAGGGACUCACCAG